This is a long non-coding RNA of Esox lucius (northern pike), 1139 nucleotides long. The record is from Ensembl. Lineage: Eukaryota; Metazoa; Chordata; Actinopteri; Esociformes; Esocidae.
UAAUUAGCUGAUUAGAGUGUGGCACCAGGUGUCUUCAAUAUUGAACCUUUUCACAAUAUUCAAAUUUUUCUGAGAGACAAAGGAAUAGCAGGCAUCUCCUAAUCUAACUUUCUCUCUCCUUUCUCUCCUAUCACUUUCCUUUUUUACCAUCUUUUUAACUCCUCUCUUCUCACUCAGUUUACUCUUUCACCUAUCUUUCCCCCCCCCAUUAAUUUCCCUAAACAUUUUCUUUCUCUGUCUGCCACCUAUUGACAAUCAGUUUCUCAAUCAUCACACUCAUCUGGUCUUCUCCUUCACAUGCUCAUCUGUUUGCAUAUCAUUAUUUUUUGCAAAUCCAACACUCUCCUACCUCCAAUUCUUCAUAUUCAGUCCCCUUAACUUUCUCCAUAUUUUGUUUUAUUAUAGACUUACAUUAUAUUUUUUAUAUUAUUUGCCAUCAAUCUACAGAUAAUACUCCAUAAUAACAAAGCAAGAAUAUUUUUGUAAUUGGUGUGGAAAUAUUGAAAUACAAAACUGCCCCAAGUUUGUCCUGAGCAAGUGAAAUGCGUGCUCAACUGGGUUGAGAUCAUGUGAUUGACUUUGCCAUUGCAGAAUAUUCCACUUUUUUCGCUUUAAAAAACUCCUGGGUUGCUUUUUCAGUAUGUUUUGGGUCACUGUCCAUCUGUUAAAUUAAGCACCGUUCAAUCAUCUUUGCUGAAUUUGGCUGACAAUAUAGCAGACAAUACAUCCCUAUAUCCCAACACACCUCAGAAUUCACCCAGCUGCUUCUGUCUUCUGUCACAUUUUGACCCAGUGCCAUUGGAAGCCAUACAUACCCAUCCCAUCACACUGCCUCCACUGUGUUUUACAGCUUCGGAUCAAGAGCCGUUCCAAGCCUUCUCCAUACCUUUUUCUUCCCAUCAUUCUUGUACAGGUUGAUCUUUGUUUCAUCUGUCCAAAGUAUGCUGAUCCAGAACUGGGCUGCCUUUUCCAGAACUGGCCUUUAUAUUCUUCAGACCUGCUGCUUCCUCUGCUGCGCCUACUAGCUCCUGGCCUCACCACCCAGCCUUCACCGUCAGCUCUCCCCCAGCUUCGGACCUGCCUACACUGUUUUCUCAUACAACCCUGGCUCUCCAUUAAAACCUUUAUUUUUGAAUCUA